GUGACAUAGUGGUGCAAGUUAUGUAAGAGCAGCAGAAGUGUUGUGAACCUUACUGAUCUGUGUUAACUCUUUCCUCCCCACUCAUCUCUCUCUCUCUCUCUAUCUCUCUAUCUCUCUCUCUGUUCUCUGUCGAAUUUUAACUAUGUCGAUUAUAAUUUAGGACAAUAUGAAAAUAUCUGACUUCUUUUAUUAUCUCAUUCUCCUGUUCACUACAUUCAAAUACCAACUGCUUGGGGAAAAAGUUAAUCACUGCUGAUACUAGAGAUGUGCCCCUCCAUGCCGUUCCAGUGUCACUCACAACUUUGCAGUGCAAACCACUGAGAGAAUAUACCACUUGACUCUCUGAUUAAAACCAGAUCCAUUACUGUAGACAAUGGGACAAGAUUGGAAGCUGUAUUGGCAUACAACAGUGCAACAGUGCAUUCUGAGGACAUCCCAUUAUUUUUGAAGAUCUACCACAUUUUUGGAGUUUUGGGUAGCUGGUAUUUAUGUGGGAAAAUGCUAAGACCCUCCAGCUUUAACAGCCACCUACACUGCUACCUUGUAGAGAAAGAUUCUCUUUGGGAAGUAGUGUUGCCUGGUGAAGAACUUGCUUUCCAUGGGCUGGAUUCAUACACCAACUCAGACGGAAGACUCACUGUUUCUGUACGACAUUGCAUAUAAAGGUUGUUGUAAUUUGGGAACUUUUGGUGUAUGGUUUUCAGACCAUAAUCAAUUGUGGUUUUGACAUUUAAUGGCAAGCUGUUUGUUGCGGAACUGUGUAUACUCUUGUCAUUUGCAGAGCACUUUAUUCCCUGAGUUUUCCCUGAGGAUGCAUUGAGAUAUUGGAACCCUCGAUUAACACACAAGUAAAACUAACUCACCCGUUUAAAAGGAGAAGAUACCCUCACAGUAACCGACAGCUCUCAGGAAACAACCCCUUCAGCACAGACUUAUUUUAUUCAACUACCAGUGUUUCCAACUCUCCUGAAAUGAAAGCUAAUGGAGGAAAGUCCAGGCUUUCAUAUUGCUGCCUACAGAUCAAAGUGGAGGUCCUAGAUCAUACAAGUCCUAUUUGAUUCAAUUUGUAUGUAUACAUGAUGACAAAGUUGGCCUUCAAAUACUGCAACACAGGCUUCAUCUCAAGCUGACCUAUUCCCUCCAAAAUGUUGUGCAUAACAUCGACAGAGAAAUUUUCAGAGGUAUUAAAGUACUGUAAAGUAUUCAGUAAACAAUGCUAUACUAUAACAAUAUUCUGUACUGUUACGGGCUCGCCUGUUACUGCCUCCUGCUGGGCUGUUCUUGUUUGUGUCGCAGGUUGGGAGUUGUGCAGGUGUCCCGGUCAAGUGCCCCAAUCGACUUGAUGGACCUGCACCUAUAUAGGGCUACCUCGCAGGGGCAGGGGCUCUCUCUCCAGGCGUUGCUGCUGUUGGAUUAUUAAUUACACUUGACUGACUCGCAGCACAUUCGAUGCUUCUCACCACUGCAUUUAUAUUG
This is a long non-coding RNA of Alosa sapidissima (American shad), 1476 nucleotides long. RefSeq lists it as uncharacterized. The record is from RefSeq and is a predicted model, not a curated record. The transcript is spliced from 3 exons. Lineage: Eukaryota; Metazoa; Chordata; Actinopteri; Clupeiformes; Clupeidae.